Molecule: long non-coding RNA, 5876 nt
Organism: Daucus carota subsp. sativus
Lineage: Eukaryota; Viridiplantae; Streptophyta; Magnoliopsida; Apiales; Apiaceae
Exons: 4
Source: RefSeq, a predicted model, not a curated record
AGGAAUUAUUCUAUUAUUUUUAUUUGUAAUUUUUCCAGAAAAAUGAGAAAUAAAAUUCAAUAUUUUAUUCUAGUUUGAUAAUUUAUAAAACUUAUUUGUUUUAAUUAUAUUCCUGGUCUUUGGGGUUAUAGGAAAUAUCUAUCAAUCGUGCAAUUAUCUGUUACGAGAUUUAAUUGAAUUAUUAUUUGUUUAAGAUUAUGUCUGUGUGUGCAUUUAUUUCCACUUCUAAUAUUAUUAUAUUAAUUUAUUAAAUUUGUUACUCUUUUAAAUGGAUCUUUAUUUUUAUAAAAACAUAAAGAUAAUUUGAAAAAUUAUUUUAAUUGCUCGAUAGUGAACAUAAAUAUUUUAGGAGUUUUUAAAAUAUUAAAAAUCUAAUUUCUAUAAGAACAUGAUUUUUAAUUAGUUUCUGAACGCAACUAACUUCUAAAUUUUGUAUACAUUUUGAAAAUGCUCUAUAAAUCCCGAAACUUUUAUUUGAUUAGUUUUAUGAUAGUCCGGGAUUUAUAAAAUUAUUUUGAUGAUGUUUCCUAGAUUAUAAAAUAGCGAGAUAUUCCGAUAAUUUAGUUAAAAGCGGGUCCGAGUCAAUUGUUUAUUCAGAUUAUUAAAGGCACGUGGAAGUACAAGACUUAACCACGUACCCUUUUCAUCACCGCCCUGGUUUUGCCGACCUUCCUCGCUUUAUUACAAAACAAAUCUCACCCCUCUCAUUCCUUUAAAUCUCCCGUUCUCACUCUCUCUCGCGUAUUUCUCCUCCAUUCCUUUUACCCUUGUUCUUUCUUUUUCCACAAAAAGCAAUCUCUCCGCUAUUUGCUCUUUCUUCUUUCCUCAACCACGGCCGCCAAUCUCUGGCCGGAUUACCGCCGCCGAGCUUGAGUCGCCGCCUGUGUUUUGGCGAGUCACUCCAUCGCACCUGCUAUUCGAAUAUCAAUGGAAUUGAAGACAUUGACCGAGGCAUUAAUCGAGAAGUGAUUGAAAGGGGUAUUCAGAAAUAGCCAAGCAGAAUGUUACAAGUUGAAGUAGGACGGAGAUUUGUUAUAGAUAAAAGUGUGUCAGAAGCUGGCAGAAAGGAAUGAUUAUGCGGUAUAUAGUGUUACUAGGAAUCUGAGCUAAACUUUGGAGUUAAGGCAAGUACUUCUACCUUCUCUCGCAAUUUAGAAGCAAGUAUUUCUACCCUACUCCUCUAGUACCUAUAGAUACUAAAACCUUCUUUAUAUCAUGAUUCAAAUUAUUUGCAAUUACUUUCUUGUGAAGCAUAUCUAGUACUUUUAAACUUUUUGGUUGAACGGAUAACACUUUUGGUAUCAACUCUACACUAUGAUAUGCAUAAAGAAAUUGUUUUAACAAAAUGUUAUUCUGGCUCUUGAAUUACAUGAUGGAACUGCAGAUUGUUUUAAAAAUUAAACUAUUGGGUUGUUUUUGCGUAAGAGGCUCGGGCACCGGCCCAGCGUGAAAGGUGGCUCCUUAAGCCCGGAUUACCGGAAUUCGUAAUAUUUGUCAACCUUGCUGAAUAAGCUUGGUUUAUGGACUAUAGCAUGACUGAUCAUCUGUUAUAGCCAGGUGUCCAAUUAUUUUUAAAGCCCAAUAAAAUUGUGAAUAGUUUAAAAAGAAGUUACCCUGCCUUCAAGAGAUAUUUGCUUAUACAUUCAUUUCUGCAGUUUUAAAUAUUUUCACUUCUUUAUUAUGGCAUUGCUGUACAACAAAUAUCAAUUUCAUUUUGUUAUUCUUGCUGAGCAUUAUUGCUCAUUCUUGCUAUUCCUUCUAACCCUUUUCAGCUAGGAAUAAAGAUGAUUCACUUAAGACUAGGCAAGGAUUGCAAGUGGUUGAGUUUCAAGCAGAUGGACAGUGGCUCAAAACUACAGGUUUUAAAUUAUUUUUAUUUACACGUGGCACCAGAUCCAGACCCCCGGAUCUGAGGGUGUCACAGUUGGUAUCAGAGCCGCAGGUUAUAAGUUAUUGAAAUCAGAAUAUAGGUGGUAAUAUCAGGUUUAAUAAAAAGGUGCGUUAAGUGUAACCUCACAUAGAGGUAGUCUAGAGCUAUUUGGAAUAGCAUGUGUCAAUAGAACCAAGAUUCACAUAUAGUAUUGACCUUGAGUAUAUCAUAGUGUGUAUGAUAGGUUUUCUGUUUCAGAACUAGCAAGUUUAUAUCUCAAGGAAGAAAGAGCAGGCCUCCACCAGUUUCUAUUAUAUUGAGUAUUUAGUACCAAUACUAGCAACCAAAUAGAUUCACUUGUUGAGUCUAGACCGUCCCUAAUAAUUUCAUAGUACCUCGUCACCAAGAUAGAGAUAAAUUGGAAGAGUAACUUUAUGUGUUUUUAUUAUGGAUCAAAAUUUCUUAACACCAGUUUAAUUGAGUUAGAAACUCAUAGUAGGUGGAUAAGAUUUCUUUUGGUGGAUUUAGAUUCAAAACCAUUUGAAGGAUGAAAGAUACAUCUAUUAGGUGAACUUUAUAAUGGGAACCAAUAGGUGAACUUUAUAAUGGGAACCAAUUGAGGCUGGACUAGUAUAGAUUCUCACAUAGUCUAGAGUAAUCUUUGUAGUGUCUGCCAAUUUUUGAAUAAUAUUUGGGGAGUUAUCUUUGAUUCUUGUUAAAGAUAUAUAGAAUUGGUGAAAGAAUAUAGGUGUUAGCAGGUCUGAAUUUAAAGCUUUGUAUAUAGUGAAGUAGUGAGCAUUAGAGCUAAUACAAGAAUAUGAAACUUGUAGGGUCAAGUAAGAAGUUCCGUAUAUAGUUAAAUAAUGAACGUUAAAGUUAUUUAGAGCUCGUGUAAAUUAGUGGAUAUGGUACUUGUGAGUAAGUUAAGACGUCAACACUCAGUGGUGAUGAUUAUACGAAUCUCGAUAAUAUUUCGGACUAUGCGAAGCUGAGUAGGACUUCUGACGAUCAUGGAUAUUUAUAAUGAGAUCUUCACAGACCAUUGUGAGUCAACGAUAAUUUACGUUAUUGAGCAUCAUCGACCGCUGAAAAAUAGAAGAAGAUUAGAAUCGAAUAAUGAUCCAUCAGAGCAGCAUAUCUUGUAGAAUCUUGGCAAUACCUUUCUCUUUUAUUGAUUAUAUUGAUUACUUUCUUCAUCAAUGAAUUGUUUUGACAUCUUUUUCCUAGAGACAUUUAAUAAAUACUAUAUUUUUCUCUCCUGAGUUAUAAAAUGAUGCUUGUGUCUAUUUCAUCAUUUCUAACUAAUCUUUUCAUCAAAACUAGCACCUUUGGAACUUAUUCAAUUUUUUUAACCCAAGGUGCGCAUCAAAGAUUCAUUCAUCAAAAAGUCAAUCAUUUUUGGUUGAUUUUGAAUUUCUAUCAUAUUAUUCAACUCUAACUGAGAUGAACAACCCUACCUAUAGGGGACACAAGGACUACCGGUCUGUGUGAUAGGAGUUGGAUGGGACGCCAUCACUUGUGUGUGUUGUACAUUACAAGAAGGUUAACUACCUUUAGUAGUGUCUUAAUUUAGACACGCAACACCGAGUUCUUUAGAUCAUGUUGAUCUCUCAGUUACUCUUCAAUUUCAAUCACGUAACAUUUGCUUCGGUAGAUGUAAUCUUCAUAUUUCAAUCUCCAAAAUUCUUGUAAUUUUUAAUAGUUAAAGGUAUGCCAACUAAGUUGUUAAGAUAAAUUAAGCCUUUGUAGCACGAAGCAACAUAAGGAAACGAGGAUGAUGAUGCAGAUAUACGGAAAUAAUUAGGAGAAUUUUAUAUCAGAAGGGAGAAUCACGUAUUAAAGAGAUCAUACGCUCUAGUUUUCUUUUCGCUGAUUCCGAGGACAGAAUCCUUUUAAGGGGGGUAGAUUGUGACAACCUGGAUUUUCAGGAAUUAUUCUAUUAUUUUUAUUUGUAAUUUUUCCAGAAAAAUGAGAAAUAAAAUUCAAUAUUUUAUUCUAGUUUGAUAAUUUAUAAAACUUAUUUGUUUUAAUUAUAUUCCUGGUCUUUGGGGUUAUAGGAAAUAUCUAUCAAUCGUGCAAUUAUCUGUUACGAGAUUUAAUUGAAUUAUUAUUUGUUUAAGAUUAUGUCUGUGUGUGCAUUUAUUUCCACUUCUAAUAUUAUUAUAUUAAUUUAUUAAAUUUGUUACUCUUUUAAAUGGAUCUUUAUUUUUAUAAAAACAUAAAGAUAAUUUGAAAAAUUAUUUUAAUUGCUCGAUAGUGAACAUAAAUAUUUUAGGAGUUUUUAAAAUAUUAAAAAUCUAAUUUCUAUAAGAACAUGAUUUUUAAUUAGUUUCUGAACGCAACUAACUUCUAAAUUUUGUAUACAUUUUGAAAAUGCUCUAUAAAUCCCGAAACUUUUAUUUGAUUAGUUUUAUGAUAGUCCGGGAUUUAUAAAAUUAUUUUGAUGAUGUUUCCUAGAUUAUAAAAUAGCGAGAUAUUCCGAUAAUUUAGUUAAAAGCGGGUCCGAGUCAAUUGUUUAUUCAGAUUAUUAAAGGCACGUGGAAGUACAAGACUUAACCACGUACCCUUUUCAUCACCGCCCUGGUUUUGCCGACCUUCCUCGCUUUAUUACAAAACAAAUCUCACCCCUCUCAUUCCUUUAAAUCUCCCGUUCUCACUCUCUCUCGCGUAUUUCUCCUCCAUUCCUUUUACCCUUGUUCUUUCUUUUUCCACAAAAAGCAAUCUCUCCGCUAUUUGCUCUUUCUUCUUUCCUCAACCACGGCCGCCAAUCUCUGGCCGGAUUACCGCCGCCGAGCUUGAGUCGCCGCCUGUGUUUUGGCGAGUCACUCCAUCGCACCUGCUAUUCGAAUAUCAAUGGAAUUGAAGACAUUGACCGAGGCAUUAAUCGAGAAGUGAUUGAAAGGGGUAUUCAGAAAUAGCCAAGCAGAAUGUUACAAGUUGAAGUAGGACGGAGAUUUGUUAUAGAUAAAAGUGUGUCAGAAGCUGGCAGAAAGGAAUGAUUAUGCGGUAUAUAGUGUUACUAGGAAUCUGAGCUAAACUUUGGAGUUAAGGCAAGUACUUCUACCUUCUCUCGCAAUUUAGAAGCAAGUAUUUCUACCCUACUCCUCUAGUACCUAUAGAUACUAAAACCUUCUUUAUAUCAUGAUUCAAAUUAUUUGCAAUUACUUUCUUGUGAAGCAUAUCUAGUACUUUUAAACUUUUUGGUUGAACGGAUAACACUUUUGGUAUCAACUCUACACUAUGAUAUGCAUAAAGAAAUUGUUUUAACAAAAUGUUAUUCUGGCUCUUGAAUUACAUGAUGGAACUGCAGAUUGUUUUAAAAAUUAAACUAUUGGGUUGUUUUUGCGUAAGAGGCUCGGGCACCGGCCCAGCGUGAAAGGUGGCUCCUUAAGCCCGGAUUACCGGAAUUCGUAAUAUUUGUCAACCUUGCUGAAUAAGCUUGGUUUAUGGACUAUAGCAUGACUGAUCAUCUGUUAUAGCCAGGUGUCCAAUUAUUUUUAAAGCCCAAUAAAAUUGUGAAUAGUUUAAAAAGAAGUUACCCUGCCUUCAAGAGAUAUUUGCUUAUACAUUCAUUUCUGCAGUUUUAAAUAUUUUCACUUCUUUAUUAUGGCAUUGCUGUACAACAAAUAUCAAUUUCAUUUUGUUAUUCUUGCUGAGCAUUAUUGCUCAUUCUUGCUAUUCCUUCUAACCCUUUUCAGCUAGGAAUAAAGAUGAUUCACUUAAGACUAGGCAAGGAUUGCAAGUGGUUGAGUUUCAAGCAGAUGGACAGGUAGAGUAUUUAGGACGAUGUCAUUAAGACUAGAUGCAGUUGGAGUUCUGCAAUUCAAUUCAGUUGGAAAUUAGAUUUGUUUAUUUGGUUAUCAGCUACUCUUCUUAUCGAGGUUUAGCUGAUAAUGUUGUUUAAUUUGUAAAUAAGAUUUUAUAGUUUUAGUUUCUGAUUUCAAUGCUGUAGCCUGUGUGCGAUCCUGUUUUCAGGGGGUGAAAUUGAUUUUGAAUUAAAGACCUU